AUUGAACGCUGGCGGCAUGCCUUACACAUGCAAGUCGAACGGCAGCACGGGUGCUUGCACCUGGUGGCGAGUGGCGAAAGGGUGAGUAAUACAUCGGAACAUGUCCUGUAGUGGGGGAUAGCCCGGCGAAAGCCGGAUUAAUACCGCAUACGAUCUACGGAUGAAAGCGGGGGACCUUCGGGCCUCGCGCUAUAGGGUUGGCCGAUGGCUGAUUAGCUAGUUGGUGGGGUAAAGGCCUACCAAGGCGACGAUCAGUAGCUGGUCUGAGAGGACGACCAGCCACACUGGGACUGAGACACGGCCCAGACUCCUACGGGAGGCAGCAGUGGGGAAUUUUGGACAAUGGGCGAAAGCCUGAUCCAGCAAUGCCGCGUGUGUGAAGAAGGCCUUCGGGUUGUAAAGCACUUUUGUCCGGAAAGAAAUACUUGGCCCUAAUACGGUCGGGGGAUGACGGUACCGGAAGAAUAAGCACCGGCUAACUACGUG
This 486-nucleotide ribosomal RNA is filed under the name uncultured bacterium. Its description in RNAcentral is "partial 16S ribosomal RNA". It matches the Rfam family "Bacterial small subunit ribosomal RNA", at positions 30 to 507 of the family's 1533-position model. The record is from RNAcentral.